CCUAUACUAGUAUUUUUUUUGGCGGAAAAACGUGUCACACUGUUAAAGCGGUAUCACCACGAACUGAAGUAAAGCCCUUCACCAAACAAAGCGGCAUCUCCCAAACUGAAAAAAAAGGAAGAAGAAAAAAAAAAGGAAACCGAUCAAGUUAUUUAUGGAGAGGGAAUGGACUUAGGGUCCCUUUUAACAUGCACAGUUUUUACAAACAACGCUCUGGUCUUUGGGAAGAAAACAAAGUUUGUGAGAUGGAAGCAAAGGACACUAACAGCAAGAAUCUUUCAUAUUCUCCCUCGGAAGCAAUCAAGAUUUUGUUACCAAUCAAAGCAGCUCUGGUGGUGUUACCGUUUCAACAAGCUAGGGCCCACUUUGAGCUUUUCAUGGUUGAUAUGACAGGUGUUGCAUUAUCAAGCUCCCCUUAUCAGAGAACAUAUAAUAGCAAGAAGAAUCUGUUGCCAAUUUUGUUACCGGAACCAAGUUGAAACUAAACAAUGGCAGGAUUCUUUGGUAUGCUAUAGCCAUGGUAGUUUUUGAUCAUGCAAAUGGUGAGGUUUGUAAAGAUUUACUUAAAACAAAAGAUGGAACAGAUCAUUGGCUCAUAUAUAGCUCUUGUUUUGAAAGGUGAAUCUGCUAUUUUUUGUGUUGAAAUUCAAUUGUGCUAGAUUGUGAUACUUUAUUAGUAUUUAAAGAUAGGGGCCAAGUGAGUGGGUGUCAGGCUGAAGUCCCACAUCUUCUACUUCAUAAAAGAAACUAUACUGCUUACAUAUAAAUUGAAAGGACCUCUAUCUCAGUCAUUUACGGAGCCGUGUGAUGAUGACAUAGCGAACUAUUCUUUCGCCUUUUACUAAAGAAUACCGUGUCAGCGUCACAUUUAGCGGCAUACGCUAGUUUUUGGAAGAGUCCUCAAUUUGAGGGCUCUGCAAAUUUAGUUAAAGUUUUUUGUAUGUUUACUUAACAUUGAAGGCCCUGCAAGUUAAAGUUUGGUCUUUAUUUAUUUUCUUAGUUUGAAGUUUGGUCUUUAUUUAUUUUCUUAGUUUGACUAUUUAUAACAUAUUGGAAUUAGAUUACGGAUUAACUAUUGAUAUAGAAAUAUGUGAUUGGUUCAUCUUCAAAAAUGUAUCCUUUCAAAUCCUAAGUGUUUGAUCUCCAUGACCCAAGAAAGACUCUUCACCACCCACAAAAGGUUGAUCAGGGAUUAGUUAGUGGAUUGAGAAAAGAAACAACGAAACUGCUUUGAUAUCUUGUGUAGAGGGCUGAUUUAAGCUUUGCUAUUAAAGUAUUAAUCCUUAAUAUUCCUCUACAAUGAGAUUUGUAAUUUGUUUCUGAGUUAUUUACUUCAACACAAUUACUUCCAGUACUAAUAGAUUUAUUUUUACAAACCACAAUAUUAUGUAAUUUAAUAAUGGAGUGUACAUCACAAGGAGUUCAAGAAAGUAUCAAAUUACUGUAGUAUCCUCUCAAAUUUAAGACAGAUAUUUUGUUAAGCAAGGACAUAUGCUCCUAUUUUGUGGUCUUUUUACCCUCCUCUAAAUCCUGUAUUGAAUGACAAAUUGCAAACAUAACCAAACUCACACCAUCUAAUAUCCCAUAUGAACCCACUUGUCAUUUUGUGGCUGGAUUAGAAGGAAGUAAAUUUCAUGAACUUUGGUACUGGGUUCGUGACUGGGCCAUUUACUACUAUAAUGUUAUUUUCUUGUCUUAGUUUUUGAACAAGUUAGAUCUCUUUCUCUCAACUUUAUUCUUUGUGGUUUAAUAUUUGCUUGUCUUAGUUGUUUAAGGAAAAGAAGGAUGAGUAGAUGGACUUUGCAGCAAAAUUUCUAAGUCCCACACUGCUAAUGAGAGAAAUUAGAUGAAUUUGAAGUUAUAUAUAAAAGGAAGUUUAUUUCAUAUUUUAACUAUCUUUGCGCUUGGGGCAAUGACGCAGCUAGUGAGGUUCUAACCGAGGCGCGUCUAUUGCUGGUUGAAAACUAUUUCCAAACCCCCUAAUAGGCUUGGGUUCAACUCAAGCCUUUGAGAAUUUCUGGAAGGGGACUCCCUUAGGGGUAAAGUCCUGCAAAUUUAGUUCAAUUUAUAUUUAAUCUAGGAAGAUCUCUUGUAUCAUUAAUUCUCUAGUAUUCACAGUUUGCCCAAAUUCUAAUGUUUUAUUAUUACCUAUCAUUGAUUCUCUAAUUUUCACAAUUUGCCCAAAUUCUAAUGUUUAAUUAUUACAUAAGAUAUAACUUGGUACUGGUGUUUUAUAUUGUUACUUAACAUUACAAUAGUAAAAUAGCCCAGGUGCCAAACCUUGAAACAAAAGUUAAGAUUGUCAGUUUUUGAAUCAAAAUAAAGAUCCACAUGAUAUGUAAGGUUUGAUCUUAGUUAAAUAACUGUUCUAAAACAUAGGAAGGUUUGAUCUUAGUUAAAUAACUGUUCUAAAACAUAGGAAGGUUUGAUCUUAGUUAAAUAACUGUUCUAAAAACAGGAAGAGGA
This is a long non-coding RNA of Vicia villosa (hairy vetch), 2466 nucleotides long. RefSeq lists it as uncharacterized. Lineage: Eukaryota; Viridiplantae; Streptophyta; Magnoliopsida; Fabales; Fabaceae. The record is from RefSeq and is a predicted model, not a curated record. The transcript has 6 exons.